This 425-nucleotide long non-coding RNA is filed under the name Salmo salar (Atlantic salmon). Its description in RNAcentral is "lncRNA (ENSSSAG00000122092.1)". Lineage: Eukaryota; Metazoa; Chordata; Actinopteri; Salmoniformes; Salmonidae. The record is from RNAcentral.
CUAGUUGUGGUCUAGGGUGGUCUAGUUGUGGUCUAGGGUGGUCUAGUUGUGGUCUAGUUGUGGUCUAGGGUGGUCUAGUUGUGGUCUAGUUGUGGUCUAGGGUGGUCUAGUGGUGGUCUAGUGGUGGUCUAGUGGUGGUCUAGUGGUGGUCUAGGGUGGUCUAGUGGUGGUCUAGUGGUGGUCUAGUGGUGGUCUAGGGUGGUCUAGUGGUGGUCUAGGGUGGUCUAGUGGUGGUCUAGGGUGGUCUAGUGGUGGUCUAGGGGUGGUCUAUGGUGGUCUAUGGUGGUCUAGGGUGGUCUAUGGUGGUCUAGGGGUGGUCUAUGGUUGUCUAGUUGUGGUCCUAGUUGUGGUCCUAGUUGUGGUCUAGUGGUGGUCUAGUUGUGGUCUAGGGUGGUCUGGGGUGGUCUAGUUGUGGUCUGGGGUGG